Molecule: ribosomal RNA, 491 nt
Filed under: uncultured bacterium
Lineage: Bacteria
Description: partial 16S ribosomal RNA
Rfam family: Bacterial small subunit ribosomal RNA
Source: RNAcentral
AGUGAACGCUGGCGGUAGGCCUAACACGUGCAAGUCGAACGGCAGCACAGUAAGAGCUUGCUCUUACGGGUGGCGAGUGGCGGACGGGUGAGGAAUACAUCGGAAUCUACUUUUUCGUGGGGGAUAACGUAGGGAAACUUACGCUAAUACCGCAUACGACCUACGGGUGAAAGCAGGGGAUCUUCGGACCUUGCGCGAUUGAAUGAGCCGAUGUCGGAUUAGCUAGUUGGCGGGGUAAAGGCCCACCAAGGCGACGAUCCGUAGCUGGUCUGAGAGGAUGAUCAGCCACACUGGAACUGAGACACGGUCCAGACUCCUACGGGAGGCAGCAGUGGGGAAUAUUGGACAGUGGGCGCAAGCCUGAUCCAGCCAUACCGCGUGGGUGAAGAAGGCCUUCGGGUUGUAAAGCCCUUUUGUUGGGAAAGAAAAGCAGCAGGUUAAUACCCCGCUGUUCUGACGGUACCCAAAGAAUAAGCACCGGCUAACUUCGC